RNAcentral lists this long non-coding RNA (289 nucleotides) under Fukomys damarensis (Damara mole-rat). RNAcentral's name for it is "lncRNA (ENSFDAG00000023084.1)". Lineage: Eukaryota; Metazoa; Chordata; Mammalia; Rodentia; Bathyergidae. The record is from RNAcentral.
AAAAACACUAGAUGUUAUUUUCCCUUCCAAAAUACAAUAUAUAUUUCUAUACUGACUAUCUACAAAAUUUCUCUGUAUUUCCUUGAUCUUAUAUCAAAUAGUAAAUUAUUUUGCUCUUUGUCUUUGUCCAAUUUUGUCCUUGGGCCUUAGUGUGUGAGUAUAUCCGUACACAUGUGUAUAUGUGUGGGGGACGCAUUUUGGACGAGAAGAUCUCUGAGGUUACAGAAGACAUAUGCCUUCACAAAAUGGGACAUCUUUCCAAAUAUAAAUGACCAGACAUUACCAGAAC